CAGCCGUCAACCCUUUCUCCCUCUCACAGAACGUUCUGCUAGGGUUCCUCCCCAAGUCCCUCGAGCUAGCUCCGAAUCAGUUUCUACUCCAUCUCCGUAGUGAGUCCUUGAGCUUCUGUGCUCCUUGGUUGCGCGUCGAAGGUCCUGUGCGAACCCAUUUCCAGAUGGGCGAAGUUCUCGUGGUCAGCAGGGAAACGGUGAUCCAGCAGCUUAGCCGUCUGGGCUAGAUCUCACGCUUCUUCUUUUCAUGUUUUCUUUAGGGCUAUGGCCCCUGUAUUCGUAGUUGUUAGAUUGUAAACUCUUAAGUAAACGGUUAUCCUGCUUUUAGUUGGCAUCGUGGUGUGCCUGGUUUCGUAGGGGUGAC
Vigna unguiculata (cowpea) is the source of this 364-nucleotide long non-coding RNA. The record is from RefSeq and is a predicted model, not a curated record. Lineage: Eukaryota; Viridiplantae; Streptophyta; Magnoliopsida; Fabales; Fabaceae.